This 13637-nucleotide long non-coding RNA is filed under the name Fragaria vesca (wild strawberry). RNAcentral describes it as "long non-coding RNA (FVES_LNC003784)". The record is from RNAcentral. Lineage: Eukaryota; Viridiplantae; Streptophyta; Magnoliopsida; Rosales; Rosaceae.
GUAUGCAUUGAAGGUAGUAUAGCAUAAAUCAUUACUUGAUACACAUUUUUAAUGUUCUAUACAUUGUUAAAUGCAUAUAUCUAUACACAAAAGCCAGUUGGCACCUUUCAUAUACUUUAUAUUGCAUGUUAAAAUGUAUAAUAGAAUAGAUUUACGAACUCAUCAAUAUAUAAACAACAAGAAUUUCAUCCCACAGCUGCAACUCUUCUAUGACAGGGUACCUGCACACAUUGUGUUAGGUUGGUUAGUUCUUAUUCUGAGAACCAAAUCCUAGUUGAACUAACGCAAUCAUAACAAGAAUAGUCAUCUACAUAUAAUGUGAACAAUGAAGUUUAAACUGACAUCAUAUCAAUUAACCGUCAUGCUUCCAAUUAACCGACAUGCUUUCAAAUUUAAGUCAUAUUGAUUGGGUCUAAAACUAAGAGGUGAGGGAGGAUAGAUAAGACACCUGUGUUUGAGCCCAGUGGGUAUUUUUGGUCCAAGACUCGGGGUACGUUUUGGAUAACAUUUGGGCCAGUACCUGUGGCCCUUUUUUAAUGCGAAGCCCACGAAGGGUGGCGAAGUCUGGCAACACGCGAGCUGGAGUUUUGCAAGGAUUCCGAUACCCCGCGGGAUUCGAUGUCCUCGCGGGAUCCUUUGUUUCAGUUCGUGUAGGAUUCUACAGUGCAUGGCGAGGUAGAGUUGGAAAUGGACUGUAGUACUCCGCGGGAUAGGAUCGCUUAGUGUUCGAGUUCGCGUACGACGCUACAGUAAGAUGAUGCGGGGCUGUGAGCGAGAUCUAGGCGAGGUCUGUUCUGGACACGUGUUGCACGGAUCUCGCGGCUCGCGAGCUGAUCGUAUCCUUGUGGACUUCUAAUUGCUGAGUCCGAAUGGAUUGUGAUUAGGUCUAUGCGAAUUGCUAUAUAAGGGAGCUUGACACAAAUCAAAGACACACAAUCAAUCAUACAAAACAAGUACAAAUCCUCGAGCAUCCUCGAAACCCUAAGUUCUAAGUGCACCUCGCCUUAGAUCUUAGAGCCCGUCUGGACUCACCUCUCCUCCCUAAUUGUUGCUCUGCUCGCUUCGAACAGUGAGUAUCGAUUCACAGGUGACUAGAUAGUUUGCUCGUAAUUCCUCGCCCGCGAGGUGACAUCGGAGCUCUACUUCGCCUGAUUAGAAGUCAAGAACGCGCACCGUUCUCGUUCCGCGUCCGCGCGGUGGCACGCCCCGCAAAUCUCCUUCUCUUUACUUUUGAGUCACCGGAGUUCCGACUCUGCCCCUGCUGAGACGCGUGGCCAAAACAUUGGCACGCCUAGUGGGACGGGGAGUAUAACAUUCUCGUCAUCAUUGGGAAGUCAGGCGGAUCCCCAUACGGGAGACCCUCGAUUUCUCGUUUGAAACACAAAUCACCGCGUUACCAGCCUUAUAACAGCGCGGCCUGUCGCUCACUCACGAAAGACCAAGUAUUAACUCGGUUCGGAAACCCAUAUUUCAACGAACCUACGAUGGCAGAACUAACACCCACUAGCAGCACUGGCCCCGUCACUCUAGCUGAAGACCAGAUAACGGCCCUGGUCGACCGCCUAACGGCUCACACCGACCAGGCAACCCGCCAAUUGCAGGAGGGUCUUGACUCCCUCACCCUGACUGUUAAGAAUCUAUCUGAAGUAGUCAUGAAGGAUAGAGAUAUCUGGCUUGCUAACCAAGAAAACCUUUCUAGGCUCAGCGAGGACUUUAACUUCCAUGCCGGUCAAGUCAGGGAGGACAAAGAUUUGGUGGAAGGUUCCCUUCAAAGAAUCCAAAAAGAACUGGAUCAGAGCAAGAUGACUUUCACAGAAACCCUGCAGCUUACCCGCGCAACCGUGGAUGAGCAAACCCGUCGCUUGGACGAGCAUGAUACCAAGCUACAAUUGCAGCAGGACGCUUCCUUCUUUGGAAGUAAGAAUGACAUAGAAAAGCUCGAGAAAUAUAAGGAGCAAAAUGAUAACUUGAGCUUAAGGGUCCUGCAAGUGGAAGACUGGAUGCGGUCUCAGGCACCAAAGAAUCAUACUAAUGAACUUAAUUAGUUCAAGUGCAACUGAGGGAUGAAGGUAUAUUCCACCUAAUGAACGGCCCUAGGGGGAAUCCGAAAGUCGGGGCCCAGAAGACUCCCCAAUUCACAUUGGGAGCCAGUUCGUCAAAGACACCACCCCUUCUACCCACGACAGGCAACCCUAGAGUCGCACUUGGGGGCGCCGGUGUCUUCCCAUCUCAAGGGAUCGGGACACUAGAUGACCCAGUUAUAGCUUAUUCCAGUUCGACCCUUAAGAACAUCGGGCAGACCCCUAGCCUCUCUGCAUGGCACGGCCACGAUCAGGGGGCAGAAUCCACACCAGUAACGGCAGCCGAUUGGCGCCAGCUCAUCUCGAGCAUAGUCAAGGAGCAGACCGGAAAAGGUGAUGCUAGCUUGCAUUAUCGUGAUCCCUAUCCUGAUAGCGUGGCACAAUAUCCCUUCCCUCAUGGGUUUAAGAAUAUUGUCUUCACCACUUUCUCCGGGGAGACAAGGGAAGAUGCAGCAACACAUGGCCCGUUUUAAGGUCCAAUGCGGCUAAUACGGGAAUGAUGAUAUGCUCAAACUCAAACUCUUCGGGACUUCUCUGUUCGGGGCUGCUUUCACCUGGUACUCCAGAUUGAAGCCUGGGUCAAUAGCAGAUUGGCCCACUAUGGAAAGGCUCUUCCGAGAAACGUACGGCACGAUUGAGCCUGAAGUUGGCCUCGACUCCCUCACACAGAUGAGCCAGCAGAGCAUGGAGUCCGGAGUUUCUUUCCUCCAACGCUUUAAGAUCCAGCAAGCCAAGUGUGAUUACCUGCUACUUGAGCAGGAAUCCAUUAAGUUGGCUAUUAGAGGUCUGGAGCACCGCCAGCGGUUGAAACAUCAUGGGGAGCGCUUUAAUUCCAUGGGUGACCUGAUUAACAAAGUCGGCAGCUACGAGCUAAUCCUGAACGAGUUGGACGACAAAACAAAUGCUUCCAAAGGAACUUACAUAUCAGGGAAGAACCGGAUAGUGGGGAACAUACAAACCCCUACUCAUGAUCCAUAUUAUCAAAGACCUGAGGAAGUUCAUACGAAUCAGGACCUGGAUGACAUUGGCAGAGUAGAAUUGAUUGGCAAGCCAUUAGCUCAUAAGUUGAAGAACCUGAAGAUGACAUGUAAGCCAAUCACCAUCCAGUCCUUUGCGUGGACCAAGCCGGAGUACGAGUCGUACACCUAUGAUGCUAAGAACGCCCAUUUGGUCUUUAAUGACCUGAUAGAGGCGAGAUAUGUGCGCCUGGAUCAUAAGAUCCCGCCCAAGGAAGAGCUGAAGGACAAGAAGUACUGCUCCUUCCACAAUGUUUACAAUCAUGACACCAAAGAUUAUGUCAAGCUUCGAGACCAGCUGCAGACAUGGCUGAACUCAGGCGAGCUAAAGAUGAAAACACCGGGUAGUACGGCCUCAUUGGUUGAUAUAGACCAUUUCCCGCCUGUAGUUGGCAUGGUCGAGGUAAACUGGGCCAAUCAGACCAAGGACGACGAUCGACGCCGGGCACCUAAAAGGGGGCCGCGAGGAAAGUGACGAUGGUGCCCGCCGGCCACGUCGCCAAUACACCUACAACGAAGAUCUUGCACAUGAGAUUUUAGACGAUCUCAUCGACGACGGGCUCGUCACAGUGGUCAAUUUCUUGCCUUACAUCGAAUAUAAGGAGAGGGGCAUUCACUGCAAGUUUCAUAAUAGCUGGGGGCACAGAACCAGCGAAUGCCAACAGCUUAGAGACCAGGUUUAAGACUGGCUCAACCUCGGGUAUAUUCGCUCUGAGAAUAAGGGCGACUUCAUGUUAUUCACAAACUCCUGCAAUGUGGCUCUUGAGGAAGCGACCAUUAAUAGGAUUGCGAUGAAUAGUCCCGUCCAAGUCGCGCAGGUGGUAUGCCCCCUUGGGAAGUAUACGAUGAAUAAUAAAGGGGCAUUCCCAUCGAGCGGACCACUUGCCCCGACCAUCGGUUUUUUCCCCAAGUGGGAGUAUCGCGCGCCACACUUUCUAGCCCUCAGCAUAGCUCCGUCCGCGCGUGACCUUAUCAUACGAACGUGCGAUGCGUUGUUUCUCGAGGACAAGAUUGUUGAAAGCGAUGACGCGGUACUCGUCAAGAUCUUCAAGCUCCUGCCACAUGGCUUGGACGUAAUCCUCGCCAAGUAGUUGGUGCUGUUCCUGAACGCGGAGUGAAGCGAUAUUGAUCUCAAGGGGAAGGACGGCAUCAUGACCGUACAUGAGAGCGUACAGGGUGGUAUCCGUCGGGCCGCGCUUUGAAGUGCGGUAGGCUUACACCUUGUGGGCCUACCGCAUCGGUUUUUUCCAUCGAGCGGACCACUUACCCCGACCAUCGGUUUUUUCCCCAAGUGGGAGUACCGCGCGCCACACUUUCUGGCCCUCAGCAUGGCUCCGUCCACGCGUGACCUUAUCAUACGAACGUGCGAUGCGUUGUUUCUCGAGGACAAGAUUGUUGAAAGCGGUGACGCGGUGCUCGUCAAGAUCUUCAAGCUCCUGCCACAUGGCUUGGACGUAAUCCUCGCCAAGUAGUUGGUGCUGUUCCUGAACGCGGAGUGAAGCGAUAUUGAUCUCAAGGGGAAGGACGGCAUCAUGACCGUACAUGAGAGCGUACGGGGUGGUAUCCGUCGGGCCGCGCUUUGAAGUGCGGUAGGCCCACAAGGUGUGGUAGAGUUCCUCAUGCCAGACACGCGGGUUCAACUCCAACAUCUUGCGGAGGAUGCCAAGGAUGACCUUAUUACUAGCCUCCGCCUGGCCGUUGGACUGUGCAUAAUAUGGCGUAGAGUGGAGAAGCUUGAUUCCGUAGUCGUUUAAGUACUUAACAACUGAAUCAGCCAUGAAAGCUGCCCCCCUGUCUGUAACGAUGCAUUCCGGGAUACCAAAGCGGGAGAUGAUAUUACGGAAAAUAAAGUUGCGAACCGAGUUGGCGGAGGCAACCUUGAGUGGUUCGGCCUCGACCCAUUUGGUAAAGAAAUCGGUGGCGACGAUAAUGAACUUAUGCUGCUCAGAAGAAUGGGGAUGAAUGAUGCCAACGAAAUCUAUCGCCCAACCGCGACCCGGCCAAGGUUUAAUAAUAGGCUGUAACGGGAUGUUGGGAAUGUGUUGCACUGGUCCGUGAGCCUGGCAGUCUUGGCAACCUCUGGCGAAGGCAAUACAGUCUUUCAGAAUGGUUGGCCAGUAGUACCCAUGGCGACGGAUCAACCAUCGCAUUUUUGGCCCGGCCUGGUGUGAGCCGCAAACCCCACAAUGAACUUCGCGCAUGAUACGUUUAGCUUCGUUCUCAUACACGCAGCGGAAAUCAUUUCCGUCUUCCCCACGCCGCCGGAGUGCGCCAUUGUGUAAAACAAAGUUUAAGGCGAGGAAACGUAUUUGCCUGGAGUGAGCGGCAUCGUUGGAGCGAUACCUCCUUCGUGUUGUUCUGCAUGGCUGAUGUAGAACUUCCUCCAUACUCCAUACGAGCCUUUUCGACUUGGUCAAGUACAUGCUCUCUCGCCCUAUCUUGCGGGGACGCAUCGGCAAGUGGAUCUUAGCCAUGUCCGAAUUCUCGUUGCAAUAUGUUCCGCAAAAGGCAGUAAAAGGACAGGCAAUAGCAGACUUUCUCGCUCAUCACCCACCCUCAGAGCUCACGGCGUUUCGCGAGUUGGAAUUCGCUACCGUGACACUCGCUCCAUGGACCCUGUACUUUGAUGGUUCGCGGACUGACACUACAGCCGGAGCUGGGAUAGCCAUAGCCAAUCCCGCCGGAGAUCGCUUCUCCUACUCGUUCCAGCUCGAUUUCAAAUGUACCAACAACCAGGCUGAGUACGAGGCGCUGAUCAUCGGCCUAGAGAUUUUGUUGGAUUUAGGAGUCCGCGAGGUUCAGAUCUUUGGCGAUUCUUUGUUGGUCGUUAACCAGUUGGUGGAAAAGUUUAAGUGCUAAAGCUCGUCAAUUGAGCCAUACCUGCGCAAGGCAUUUGAGGUGUUGGAUCGAUUUGACGACGUCUACAUCGAGCACAUUCCACGCGAGUUCAAUUUCGCCGCCAACGAGCUCGCCCAAGUAGCGUCCGGUCUCAGCCUGCGCGACGGCGUGCGCGAAUGUUUGCUCAAAAUCGAACGCCGUACGCUUCCCUCUUUCAUCGCUAGGGGGCAAUUUCAGGCCGACACCCCUGAAGUUGCGGCCUUGGACCCUAUCGACGAGGAUUGGCGGCUACCAUUUAUCGCCUACCUCCAGAACCCCAACGAUGCCGCUCACUCCAGGCAAAUACAUUUCCUCGCCUUAAACUUUGUUUUACGCAAUGGCGAACUCCGGCGGCGUGGGGAAGACUGAAAUGAUUUCCGCUGCGUGUAUGGGAACGAAGCUAAACGUAUCAUGCGCGAAGUUCAUUGUGGGGUUUGCGGCUCGCACCAGGCCGAGCCAAAAAUGCGAUGGUUGAUCCGUCGCCAUGGGUACUACUGGCCAACCAUUCUGAAAGACUGUAUUGCCUUCGCCAGAGGUUGCCAAGACUGCCAGGCUCACGGACCAGUGCAACACAUUCCCAACAUCCCGUUACAGCCUAUCAUUAAACCUUGGCCGGGUCGCGGUUGGGCGAUAGAUUUCGUUGGCAUCAUUCAUCCCCAUUCUUCUGAGCAGCAUAAGUUCAUUAUCGUCGCCACCGAUUUCUUUACCAAAUGGGUCGAGGCCGAACCACUCAAGGUUGCCUCCGCCAACUCGGUUCGCAACUUUAUUUUCCGUAAUAUCAUCUCCCGCUUUGGUAUCCCGGAAUGCAUCGUUACAGACAGGGGGGCAGCUUUCAUGGCUGAUUCAGUUGUUAAGUACUUAAACGACUACGGAAUCAAGCUUCUCCACUCUACGCCAUAUUAUGCACAGUCCAACGGCCNNNNNNNNNNNNNNNNNNNNGCAAGAUGUUGGAGUUGAACCCGCGUGUCUGGCAUGAGGAACUCUACCACACCUUGUGGGCCUACCGCACUUCAAAGCGCGGCCCGACCGGAUACCACCCCGUACGCUCUCAUGUACGGUCAUGAUGCCGUCCUUCCCCUUGAGAUCAAUAUCGCUUCACUCCGCGUUCAGGAACAGCACCAACUACUUGGCGAGGAUUACGUCCAAGCCAUGUGGCAGGAGCUUGAAGAUCUUGACGAGCACCGCGUCACCGCUUUCAACAAUCUUGUCCUCGAGAAACAACGCAUCGCACGUUCGUAUGAUAAGGUCACGCGCGGACGGAGCUAUGCUGAGGGCCAGAAAGUGUGGCGCGCGGUACUCCCACUUGGGGAAAAAACCGAUGGUCGGGGCAAGUGGUCCGCUCGAUGGGAAGGCCCCUUUAUUAUUCAUCGUAUACUUCCCAAGGGGGCAUACCACCUGCGCGACUUGGACGGGACUAUUCAUCACAAUCCUAUUAAUGGUCGCUUCCUCAAGCGCCACAUUACAGGAGUUUGGGAACGCGAGGAUCCUCCACCUCCCCUAAGCCCCAUCGCCACUGUCAAUAGUGCUACGCGCCAUCGCGUUCUCGCUCCGCCGCCUAACACUAGGGGGCAACCCGGGAUAGAAGACUGAUAGAGUACGUUUUAACAUACCAGCCUAAAAAGGGCAGUAUAAGAUUGGGGCCUAUUCCAGAGGUCCUAAAUAAGGAUAACUCUAUUUUUCUUCAUUUUCUGUAAACGUGCAAAGUCUAAACGCAAAUGCCAAUACAAGAUUGGGGCCUAUUCCAGAGGCCCUAAAAAACAAUAAAUUCAUUUAUUUUGCCCUUUUUGGCGUUGUUUCAAUACAAGUUUCGAACAUCGGCUUUGCGGCCGAAGCAACUACAUUGACAGAAAGGGUGAAAUUAGACUAUGUUUACAAACAAAGGCAUAGAUCUACAGAUAUUGGAAGCCUCAACCCGCAUAUCUUGCAGGGUUGAAGAAGAGACUGCCGCCGCAUCCUUCGUUUAAAGUUGGCAAAUGUCCCGCUUCUUUGGACCAGCACGAGCCUUGACACCGGCCCGGACCUAAGACAAAUUGUUGGGAAGCUAGAGGUCCACUGGACCAGCGUCCCUCAUGCUACCGGUCAUGCCUGGAAGGUGCUUGAAAGGCACUGACCAGAACCUGAAGCGCAAGCGGAUGCGGAGCCUCGAGAGCCUCACAUUUGGACAGAAUAGCCGGUGCAAGGCAAAAGGUACCCAACCAUUAGUUCGUCCAAACAAAGGCUUGACCUGAGAGUAGAUUUUCAGAAUCAGAAAAAACGAAGAGUGAAAAUGUGAGGUGGGGGCUUUGCUUUAAGAAGGGACAAGAGGAUGUACAGAAGGGUAUAAGAGCCCAUGGCAAGGGGGCAAAGACUUAACUGGUACUUCGCCCCGGCCAAGCGUUUCUUUUUAUAGGUGAGAAGGGUAAUUUUCCUUUCAACAGAUGUCCUCCAUGCAGCGAUUUGCUCCGAGAUAUGAGCUUUGGAGAUAAGGUCGGACGCGUUGUUCCAUAAUGACUACCCGCGUUCCAAGCGAAUAGUUGCAUUGGAAACCCCCACCAAAUCUUGGAAGAAGAUUUUUUCCUGGGAAGGCAGUUCUUACACAAGAAUUGACAAGAGCGGGAAAGAUUUAAUUUAAUAAUAAUAUUAUAAAAGGUUCGUUCAAAGGGGGCAAAGCGCUGAUCGGGCCUAAACCCGCCUAGAGGCCCUAUACAAAUCUAUGAGAAGGCCUUCUAAGGCCAACUCUUCAACAUCUGCCUGGGCUUGGGCUUCGUCGGCAGCAGCAGCAGCCGAGUCCAAAGCUUCCUAGGUCUCUUCCGCGGCCUGCACACGGGUUUCUGCCUCUUCAGCUCGGGCCAGGUUCUGGCGAGCUUGAGCAAGCUGAGCUUGCAGCUCCGCUAUUUGAGCCUCCAGGUCCUCCAUUUGCCGAGCAUAGACAGUGCAUGGGUUCUCUGAAGAUGCCUCAGGGAUUUCAGCGUCAUCAAGCUCGGCUAAAAGGGCUGCCAUCUGAUCGUCUAAGGCUUGGCGGACUUUCUCGUGAGCAGCCGACUGGGCACCGACAUCUUGAACUCGACGAGCCUGCAGCUCGACAGCGUCGGUGAGUUCCAACACAUGGUCUAGAGCAGGGUUGCUCCCAACGAGGUGCCGAAUCAGAGCUUCAUGGGCCUCGCGGGCGCGCCUCACCAAGUCGAAUACGUUCAUGUGGGGACCUUGGCGCAGUAACCCGUGAAAGAAAGCCCAGGCCAGGCGAAUGGGCUCUGGAUCGGCAGGAGGGGCGGUCCGGGUAGCCAAAGAAGAAGCCGCCUCGCCAGAUGUUCUCGUUGGGGCCGGAGUGGUUGGUUCAACCUCUGCAACUGCCUCAAUCUCUGGAACAGGCGGUGGGACCUCAAACCGAGUAGGGACUGUCGGUUCUUCGGUGGUCUGAGCCGCUGAGUCUGGUUGCAGAGGAGAGAGCUCAAGCACCGGUUGGAAGUCCUUUGGCGGAACCGCCGAGGGGGCAGCAAAAUCAGAAAGCAGGGUGGUCUGGCCGAGAUCUUCAUCUUGAGUAGGAGCCGAGGUAGGCUCUGGAGGCGGGCCAGUUUCGUCUAGAGCGUCGGUUGGAGAAGGGGGUCGCACUGCGACUUCCUCUGUAACCAUGAUUUGAUCCCCGACGAUUGGUUCCGAGGCUGGGACUUCAACUAUCGCUGUUGCUCCUUCAAUGACAGCGAGGCGAGGUCGGAUGCAGCGGCGAACCUGUCAAAGGCAAGGUUAGCAAAUCGUUUGUUGGCUUUAAGGAGUUUGGUUCGAAGAAGGGUCGCUUACCAAGGCGUGCUCUUGCCGAUAUCGUUCAUCCUCUAGCAGCUUUUCUUCGUCCUCGAUAGGGCGCUUCCGCGAGCUUUCGCCGCUCGUUGGCUGGGUAACGACGGGAGCGGUCUUACCGUCAUGGCCCGCCGCGGGUUCCUCUUGGGCAUGUGCUUUUCCUUUGUCUCCGGCACCCUCAGGUCUUCUGAUAGUUCUCCGGCGGGGGGCAGACUGUAAAGAUAGACAGGAAAGUUAGGAGGAAACAUUUCGUCGAGGUGGUAAAGGCGGUAUGGAAUUUACACAGUUAGUGGCAUACCUCGGGUGUGGGAUCGCGUUCUCGAAUGACGAUCCCCGUCGAGCGACGAGUAGCGGGAACUGGUGGGAGCGCAGGCCUAGACCCUGUCGCAGCCUUUGAACCGCUCUCUUCACGGUCGCGCUGGGCAUCAAGAAUGACGCGAUCUGACUCGCCCAAAGUGUCGUAUAGGGGAUAAAAGAUGGCAGCAAAGACAGCAUCAUCUAGGAACCCCCAAUGGUUGUCGGACAAAGAUCGCCACCAAGAAAGAUAGGCGGGGUCAACGCCCAGUGAAGGCUCGAUCUCGAGCAAGUCAGGAGUGAGAGGGAAAAUGUUCUGCAGCGGGGUGACCCGGUCGGACUCGCCAAUCUUCUUCCAGGAGGUGUACUUGUUCACCGAAUGGAAGAGUGGAUAAGGGAUCCCUUGAAAGAAGCCGAGUUGUCUGGCGAAGUGGUUGGGGGCAUAUAGCUCGAAGCCUUGUUCAUCCUCGGCGAGCUGAAGGUCGCAGCAUGAGGAUGCUCUCAUGAAGACUGUCUUGGCGUCUAAAUCCGAAUCAGAGCGCGGGAAGAAGCCCGUUGAUAAGACUUCAGGGUGGCGCCGGCGAACCAUCAUGUCUGUGGUGGGAGGCGGUUCGAGUUGGUUGUACAGGAUGGAGAGGCUGGCGAAGAAGGACAGGGGAGUCCGGUUCGCAGCGUUCCUGCACACCGCGAAGCCAAACAGUUGGUCCUCGGGCAGGAAUUCCAGCGGGGCUCGCCGGAAGAGCGGGAAGUACAGUUGCGUCUAUAAAUCCAGGAUCCACAGAGGGCCAGCAGAGAGAUGGAAGGGUCUUAGGGACAGCAUGUGCAGGGUCCGGUAGAGCGCGCCCAGCACGGGCUGCCCUAGCCCUACUUCGAUUCCAUUGUAGAGUGCCUCGGCCAGCUUUGUCCAUUUCCCUGUAGGUUUAUGAGCACUGCCACAGAAUAUGAAUUUAUCAAGCCAGUACUCAAGGAAAGCGAUACCUCCUUCGUGUUGUUCUGCAUGGCUGAUGUAGAACUUCCUCCAUACUCCAUACGAGCCUUUCAGGGCGCGGCGGGCCCCCAGGUUACAGGAGUGCGUAAACUCGGUCGAUGCAAAGUCUCCUGGCGCAUAUGGCUUUGCAUGAAUCGACAGCCCGGUGAUGGCGAGGAUGUCCAGUAGAGAAAUGCCCAUUUGCCCGAAAGGAAAAUCGAAAGUGUUGGUGGCACCGUUCCAUAAGCAGGUCGCGGCAGCAAUGGGUGCUCGAUCAGCAUGAGGAGGCAGUGAGAAGCUCAAGGCAAUGGCUUCGUUGAUGCCGGUUGCUUCCCAGAUCGCUUGGUCGGUCUGGAGGCGAGCCGUGUACCAUGCCCGGUCCUCCGCGGUGACGCUGGGCCAUUCCCCGACCCGGAUAUUUGUAUGAGAGCGGGCUUGGUGAAACCAGGAGGCGAAGUUUCCCGGUUCGCGACGCUGGGCAAGGAUUGGUCGGCGCACGGAGGCGGUAUAGUGGUUCAGAUCAGCGGCGAACGGAGGUUGUGAAGGAGUCGGACCGAGCAGGGCUGCCCCUAUUUCAAGGAAAUAGAUGGGUGUUCCUUGAGGAGGGUUGUUGGCAAAACGGCGAGCGAGGCCGGUCGACCAAGAACUCGCCGCCGUGAGGUUAAGGUUUGGAUUGUUAGCAGUUGGUUUGGGAGCCAUUGUUUCUGGGCGGAGUGAGUCUGGUGGUGAAGUUCUGUUGGUUGCAGAAAAAAGGGAAAAGUUUGAUUGGGAAGCGAUGGUGAGAUGUGGGGACCCGCAUCGAGGUUUAUAAAGGAGACGGACCGUAAAGUCUUUUCAAUCAGUAGCCGUAAUGAGGAGACGCGAUGACGACCGAAACGUCAGCGCGUUUCAAAUUUCAAACAGUCGCAAUGAUGAAGGGAGGCGAUGAUGACGAAACGUCAGCACCUUUUGAAUUGCGAAUUCCCGUAAAUGGCUCAUUUAGGCCUUUUCGCUUAUCCGUUGCGAAAUGGAUUAAGCUCAAGGCCUAGGGGGCAAUGUUUGAGCCCAGUGGGUAUUUUUGGUCCAAGACUCGGGGUACGUUUUGGAUAACAUUUGGGCCAGUACCUGUGGCCAUUUUUUAAUGCGAAGCCCACGAAGGGUGGCGAAGUCUGGCAACACGCGAGCUGGAGUUUUGCAAGGAUUCCGAUACCCCGCGGGAUUCGAUGUCCUCGCGGGAUCCUUUGUUUCAGUUCGUGUAGGAUUCUACAGUGCAUGGCGAGGUAGAGUUAGAAAUGGACUGUAGUACUCCGCGGGAUAGGAUCGCUUAGUGUUCGAGUUCGCGUACGACGCUACAGUAAGAUGAUGCGGGGCUGUGAGCGAGAUCUAGGCGAGGUCUGUUCUGGACACGUGUUGCACGGAUCGCGCGGCUCGCGAGCUGGUCGUAUCCUUGUGGACUUCUAAUUGCUGAGUCCGAAUGGAUUGUGAUUAGGUCUAUGCGAAUUGCUAUAUAAGGGAGCUUGACACAAAUCAAAGACACACAAUCAAUCAUACAAAACAAGUACAAAUCCUCGAGCAUCCUCGAAACCCUAAGUUCUAAGUGCACCUCGCCUUAGAUCUCAGAGCCCGUCUGGACUCGCCUCUCCUCCCUAAUUGUUGCUCUGCUCGCUUCGAACAGUGAGUAUCGAUUCACAGGUGACUAGAUAGUUUGCUCAUAAUUCCUCGCCCGCGAGGUGACACCAGAGCUCUACUUCGCCUGAUUAGAAGUCAAGAACGCGCACCGUUCUCGUUCCGCGUCCGCACGGUGGCACGCCCCGCAAAUCUUCUUCUCUUUACUUUUGAGUCACCGGAGUUCCGACUCUGCCCCUGCUGAGACGCGUGGCCAAAACAACGUGAACUAGAGCUUAAUCAAGUAAUUGGGACAGCUACACAACUCCUUAUUCACCCAAAGGGUUGCUGGUUACUGAGAAGUCACUAUCCAUAUGGGUUCUCAUUAUUACUAAACCACUCUUCCACUCAAGGCGUAUGGUCAUUGGGUGACAUAGAACUUGGCCUCAGCCCAAAAGAGAAUUAAAAGUGCAAUGUAGUCAUGAACACCCUGUAGUCAUACAUACAUCUUAAUACCAUACUUUAGUUCAUAUUUCCUAUCAAAUUUCACUACCAAUCCUUCUAACCACUGCUACAAGAUUCUGAACCUCAAACAUACUCAACCUCAAGCUUUACUCAUACUCCUCAGUUACAGUAAAAUACAUACCCACCCUCACACUUUCUCAUAUAGAUGACUAAUGAGAAUAGUAAUGCUGAUAAAUAAGAAAAAUACUAAGAUUGUGAGGACGGAAUCAUCAGUAAAACUUGUUCUGUAAAGUCUUCAAAUGCAAGAAAGUGCAUGUAAGCAAUUCAGGGUUUUAUGUCCUAUGAAAAAAGAAACUCUCAUCAAUUCAGGAUUUAACCUCUACCUCAUAGCAUUGGGUAUCCAUUGACCCAAUUUUUAGCCAUACAGCAAACAUCUCAAUUUUCUCGUUCCAUUCAAACAAAACACCACAAACCCCUACCAUCAAUCAACCAGAAUGUCACAAAAGUACAAAUUCAUAGCCUCUAUCAACCAAAUCAAACUCCUAACCUACAGUUCAAAUCAAUCGAAGGACAAUUAACAGA